AUAUAAUCAACCUUCAACUUGUUUGAGUGGUUUGGAUGUGGGGGUUUGCUGGCCUUUCAAAAGGUUUCAGCUCCUCUGAAAUGCAUUAGCAGAACAAACCUUGUUCAUUGGUGUGAUAACUAUCUACGCUUAUGAAUGUGAGGGGCAGUUCAGCUUUCUAAUCGUCUUUGGACAAUUCAUCAUUA
This 185-nucleotide unclassified non-coding RNA is filed under the name uncultured Cortinarius. Its description in RNAcentral is "sequence contains ITS2". The record is from RNAcentral. Lineage: Eukaryota; Fungi; Basidiomycota; Agaricomycetes; Agaricales; Cortinariaceae. RNAcentral also lists the same sequence under 1 other name.